GGAAUGGUAGAAUAGUUCUCCAUCGUGCAAGAGAUUAAGGUGAACGAGAAACCAAGUCACAAAAUUCAUGAAACAGUUGAUCGUCAAAUCCAAACAAGCAAAUACCAAAUAUCUACCUUUACUUCUGGGAGAUUGACGAAACAUUUGUUUUCAAGAGUGCAGCUUUGACUAUUUCCUUGAGGAAAUGUCGGCUGAUAAAGAAACAACACUCCCAAAACUGAUGAGAGACAAAACUCAGGUCCUGCUCCAUCCCAAUUAACCUCAAUGGUCAAAAAGUUAAACAUGUGACUCAUAUUGGAAUGACUUCUCCAUACUUCCCGCAGAACAACUUCUAGCAAAGAAAAGUAACACUUCAGUCCCCUGUACUUCAACAAUUUUUUCAUAUACUACCCCCUCCAUGAUAAUGCAAA
RNAcentral lists this unclassified non-coding RNA (410 nucleotides) under Hevea brasiliensis (rubber tree). The record is from RNAcentral. Lineage: Eukaryota; Viridiplantae; Streptophyta; Magnoliopsida; Malpighiales; Euphorbiaceae.